This is a long non-coding RNA of Neofelis nebulosa (Clouded leopard), 1005 nucleotides long. RefSeq lists it as uncharacterized. The transcript has 3 exons. The record is from RefSeq and is a predicted model, not a curated record. NCBI's taxonomy places the organism in Eukaryota, Metazoa, Chordata, Mammalia, Carnivora, Felidae.
AAAGAAAGAAAGAAAGAAACAUCCCUCCUGCCCUUCCUGGUCACGCCCUCCAUCCCAGACCCAGGCAACCACCCAGAGGCUUUCUGUCCCUCUGGCUGACUUUGUCAUUUCCAGACUCCUAUAAAAAUAGAAUUGUACAAUAUGCACUCCUGUGUCUGCUUUUCUCCCUCAGUGCCAUGUUCUGAGGUCCAUCCUGCGGUAGUGUUAUCGCUGUCUGUCCUUUUUUAUUGUUACAAUGACGUGUGGAUAUAUACCAGUUCUGUCCCUCUACCUGUUGAUGGGCACGUGGGCAGUUUCCAGCUUGGAGCUGUGAUGAGCGGUGCUGCUGGGAACAUUCAUGGACAAGCCGUGUCUGGACAUAGCUUUCAUUUCUCCCGGUUUACAGGUAUUUCAGGAGAAAAAGCAUCUAGAGGUGGAAGAUUGGAAAUGUAACUAACAAUGGUUUAAAGAUGCCUUUGUGACAACCCUCCCUUCAUGUCCUUUGAUGUUUGUUGGAUCAAACUGGAAGGGAUGCAGGAGGUCGUGAAGCCAACUGUAGGUACACCCACAGCACCCGGGAGCUCUGCCCUGGCCUCCCGAUUUUCAGCCUGCGCAAAGAUGACUAAUUUAGCAAAUAUUUUUAAAAGACGGCUCGCAAGUUGGAAUGUAAAUUGAUAGGCGGCUUUUUAAAGCAAUUGGGAAAUACUUGCCGAGAGUAGAAAUGCCUGUGCUUCUGCACAGGAGACCCACGUGUAGGAGCCGCUAAGAACACCGUGUGGAUGAACGUAUAUACACAAGCAUGUCCUUUGGCAUCUGUAACGCAAGGAAAAACUAGAACCAGGUGCCCACCAUCUAGGAGAACCAUUCAGUCAACUCUGGUGUGCAGAUCAGAUAGAAUUUGAGGCCGCUUUCAGAAGUGAUUCUUUUUAUAAAUUCCAGCAAACGAUGGACAGCAAACAAGGAUUACCCAUGAUACUCUGGGCGGUAGGGCUGGCUGGGAUUCUUGUUUCUUUCUAUCUAAAAAAA